GGGGAAAGAAUGUUGUGGCUGAAGAUAGAGAAAAAGUUAGAAAUUAAGACGGGUGGCUGUUGCUGCUACUCACUAGAGCUGUGACCUCAGGAAGUCAUCUAAUCUCAUCUGUAAAGAAGAAGGCAGUGAUUUCUAAGAAACAUGAAUGACCAAGGAAGAUUAUCAGAUCCUUUCUCCCUUGUGUUGCUUCCUUGAAACAUAUGUUGAAAAUUAUUAAUAAAAGGACACUCAUCAGUAAGUCAAAGGUGGAAUGUGCAUGUACCGAAAAGUGACAUAAAAUCAGUUGGGUUAGUUUUGUACAGUGUUUUCACUCUCCUGGAGCAACAAAACACUUAUAUAUGAGCUACUAAAUAUGAACUGUGUAAUUCUGGUGAUUUUAUCUAUCAGUUAAAUGCUUUGAUAUUUGCAUUUGAAACAAACAUUGCAGAAUGUAAAUAUAAAGAGUAAAAUUCAUAAUAAUUUCAAA
Long non-coding RNA from Bubalus bubalis (water buffalo), 466 nucleotides. RefSeq lists it as uncharacterized. The transcript is spliced from 2 exons. The record is from RefSeq and is a predicted model, not a curated record. NCBI's taxonomy places the organism in Eukaryota, Metazoa, Chordata, Mammalia, Artiodactyla, Bovidae.